UGAGGUGAGCUAUUUUUAUGACAGACUUGAUUAUUCUGCAAACGCCCAUAGUGAUUUUCUCAACCAGGCCAUCGCUGGUCACGAUCUCAUAUCCAGCUCAUAUGCACAGCUGUACAUCAGCUCACUUACAGAUGGCUCUCUAACCGUCUAACAAACUCUGGAACAGCCUCGUCAUCCCCUCUAUAAAUAAAGGAUUAAAGAUCCUCCAUCGGUAAGUCUAGCUUUUAGAAAUUAGGA
This 237-nucleotide long non-coding RNA is filed under the name Elaeis guineensis (African oil palm). RNAcentral describes it as "long non-coding RNA (EGUI_LNC074713)". The record is from RNAcentral. Lineage: Eukaryota; Viridiplantae; Streptophyta; Magnoliopsida; Arecales; Arecaceae.